RNAcentral lists this ribosomal RNA (253 nucleotides) under uncultured bacterium. RNAcentral describes it as "partial 16S ribosomal RNA". It matches the Rfam family "Bacterial small subunit ribosomal RNA", at positions 524 to 776 of the family's 1533-position model. The record is from RNAcentral.
UACGGAGGAGGCGAGCGUUGUUCGGAAUCACUGGGCUUAAAGCGCGUGUAGGCGGGAUGGAGGGUGUCCUGUGAAAGCCCCCGGCUCAACUGGGGAACUGCAGGGCAAACCGCCAUUCUUGAGGCAGGUAGAGGCAAGUGGAACCAUGGGUGGAGCGGUGAAAUGCGUAGAUAUCCAUGGGAACGCCGGUGGCGAAAGCGGCUUGCUGGGCCUGUCCUGACGCUGAGACGCGAAAGCGUGGGUAGCAAACAGG